AAAAGCAAGACAACUACAAGGGCUAAGAUCUACCUAAGUGUCCAAGACACCUACAAACAAGCCUGCUGCUUUCUAAAAACCUUUUCACCAAUACAUGAGACAACCCACAGCAACGAAGCAUAGAGGGAGUAUGACUUCUUUAUGGUUCCACCCACCACUAUCCAUUUUGAGCUGCUUCUUCACUUCCAGCAAAUCCCCCUUAAGUGAUGCAAAGUGGGUGGCAAACUCUUAACUCAAGGAUUCCAUCCUCUCCUCCAUCUCAUGCUUG
RNAcentral lists this long non-coding RNA (268 nucleotides) under Jatropha curcas. RNAcentral's name for it is "long non-coding RNA (JCUR_LNC002767)". The record is from RNAcentral. Lineage: Eukaryota; Viridiplantae; Streptophyta; Magnoliopsida; Malpighiales; Euphorbiaceae.